AACAAAACAAAAAUUAAAUACCUCACCACAAAAAUCUCACGUUUCACUCGCAAAGAAAAUUGGAUAGCACACCACUCGUGUUUACGCUCGUUUAAUGGCUUUUGCUAGCUCUAAUGUACUCACCACUCGUGCCUUUUUCCACUCGUCUCACUCUCGUGAAUUCGUAUUUUGUUUCAAGAAGACUUAUUGCGGCUUAGAGGGUCGGCUUCAAAUGGGUGCAAAGGAUAAUGUUAGGGUGUAUAGGGUAGGCGGAAACAAGGAAAAAUAAAAAAUCAAAGUAUGUGUGGCAUUUUUUUGGGGGGUAGAAGGAAUGGAUGCUCGGAAGUAACAAGAAAUAAUAACAAAAUAAAACUCACAAGACUUUUCACUUCUUUUUUUUUAUACUUCGAUUUUUUUUCACUUCAAAUACAAUUGAAUAAUACCAAAAUAUCUUCAAAAUUCACGAAAUCCUCUUCUCUUUUUUUUCAAUUUUUUCUUUCUCUCUUUUUUUUUGCUCGAUUUUUUUUCACUUUUUUUUUGAAUUUUUUUU
This 529-nucleotide long non-coding RNA is filed under the name Gossypium raimondii (Peruvian cotton). Its description in RNAcentral is "long non-coding RNA (GRAI_LNC000583)". Lineage: Eukaryota; Viridiplantae; Streptophyta; Magnoliopsida; Malvales; Malvaceae. The record is from RNAcentral.